This 526-nucleotide ribosomal RNA is filed under the name uncultured bacterium. RNAcentral describes it as "bacterial SSU rRNA". It matches the Rfam family "Bacterial small subunit ribosomal RNA", at positions 984 to 1509 of the family's 1533-position model. The record is from RNAcentral.
ACAUCCAGAGAGUUUAGCAGAGAUGCUUUAGUGCCUUCGGGAACUCUGAGACAGGUGCUGCAUGGCUGUCGUCAGCUCGUGUUGUGAAAUGUUGGGUUAAGUCCCGNAACGAGCGCAACCCUUAUCCUUUGUUGCCAGCACGUAAUGGUGGGAACUCAAAGGAGACUGCCGGUGAUAAACCGGAGGAAGGUGGGGAUGACGUCAAGUCAUCAUGGCCCUUACGAGUAGGGCUACACACGUGCUACAAUGGCGCAUACAAAGAGAAGCGACCUCGCGAGAGCAAGCGGACCUCAUAAAGUGCGUCGUAGUCCGGAUUGGAGUCUGCAACUCGACUCCAUGAAGUCGGAAUCGCUAGUAAUCGUAAAUCAGAAUGUUACGGUGAAUACGUUCCCGGGCCUUGUACACACCGCCCGUCACACCAUGGGAGUGGGUUGCAAAAGAAGUAGAUAGCUUAACCUUCGGGAGGGCGUUUACCACUUUGUGAUUCAUGACUGGGGUGAAGUCGUAACAAGGUAGGCGUAGUGCU